RNAcentral lists this ribosomal RNA (579 nucleotides) under Dujonia zeylanoides. RNAcentral describes it as "[Candida] zeylanoides partial large subunit ribosomal RNA". It matches the Rfam family "Eukaryotic large subunit ribosomal RNA", at positions 56 to 651 of the family's 3401-position model. The record is from RNAcentral. Lineage: Eukaryota; Fungi; Ascomycota; Pichiomycetes; Serinales; Debaryomycetaceae.
GAAAAGAAACCAACAGGGAUUGCCUCAGUAACGGCGAGUGAAGCGGCAAAAGCUCAAAUUUGAAAUCUAGCACUUUCAGUGUUCGAGUUGUAAUUUGAAGAAGGUAACUUUGGUUUUGGCUCUUGUCUAUGUUCCUUGGAACAGGACGUCACAGAGGGUGAGAAUCCCGUGCGAUGAGAUGCCCAAUUCCAUGUAAAGUGCUUUCGAAGAGUCGAGUUGUUUGGGAAUGCAGCUCUAAGUGGGUGGUAAAUUCCAUCUAAAGCUAAAUAUUGGCGAGAGACCGAUAGCGAACAAGUACAGUGAUGGAAAGAUGAAAAGAACUUUGAAAAGAGAGUGAAAAAGUACGUGAAAUUGUUGAAAGGGAAGGGCUUGAGAUCAGACUUGGUAUUUUGCGUUCCCUUCCUUUUUGGUUGGGUUCCUCGCAGUUUACUGGGCCAGCAUCGGUUUGGAUGGUAGGAUAAUGACAUUGGAAUGUAGCUUUACUUCGGUGAAGUGUUAUAGACUUUGUUGAUACUGCCUAUCUAGACCGAGGACUGCGUCUUUGACUAGGAUGCUGGCGUAAUGAUCUUAAGCCGCCCG